RNAcentral lists this non-coding RNA (29 nucleotides) under Mus musculus (house mouse). The record is from RNAcentral. Lineage: Eukaryota; Metazoa; Chordata; Mammalia; Rodentia; Muridae.
UGCUAACCGUCCAAAUNGGGCCUUUUAGC